GUUUUGAUGCCUCCACUGAGGCAUGUUUGCCCCAGGAGAUGUAGGGUCUCCUCCUGGCUUACGUAAAGAACCAGUGUGUUAGUCAGUAUUCUGUUGUAACCCAGACUCCAAAACUCUCCGUGGUUUACAGCAGAGGUUUAAUUCUUGCACUCAAGUCUGCAGCUCAGCUGCCUCUGCUUAGCUCUGCUCCCAUCUUCUCACUCCAGGACUCAGGCUGAAAGAGCAGCAUCAUCUGGGAACUGUGGAGCUUACAGCAGAAAGCAGUAAGGCAAGAGGCCAAGCCAAACUAUGCAAUCUCAUUGAAAGCUUCUGCUCAGACAGCAUAAAUCAUGUCCGCUCACAUUCCAUUGGAAGAAGCGAGUCACAAGGCCAAACCUGCCAACAUACUCCCCUUACUGGAUUGCUCCUGGAAGUCACGUGGCAAACGGUGUUGGACGUGUAAUACCCUCAGACAGAGGCAGAAGAUAGUUGCAAACAAUAACAUAAUCGGUCGUACCAAGAAACAAGUGCUGGAACAAUGGGACUUAAGGAUAAAUCUGCCUUUCACAGCAGGGAGCCCCCCAGUGGGGCGAAUGGAAGAGAAUAUAAAGUUCCCAGGCUCUUGAAUUGAACAAAGACGGAGUCUCAGCUGCAGACAGGCCAAAUUCCAGUGGCAAAAACAAUGUCCUGAGAGCCAGAGCUUCCAACAUCUGGAGCCCAAACAGGGACCUAACAAAAGAUCAGAAUACAAUGACCCCGGGGGAUGCCUGACGAGUGUAUCGUAAGAAUAAUCAUUGUCUCUGGGCAUUGGGUUAUGAGUAAUAUCCUCUUCUGUUUUCUACUGAGUGAUUGUGCUACUUUUUAAUUAGAAAAAGAAGCAUUUUAGAAAAGUAUAUGUGUCCUCCCUGGAGCCGAAAACAGCAUGGGGCAGCAGAAGUGACUGCUUUUCCAUGCCAAACCUCACACUGAUGAGAAAGAUUUGCAUGUCCGAUGACGCACCAAAGAUUCUGUCUGAGGUUGAAGACAAAGAAAGGCCACUAUGAGUUCAGUAUCCAGAAGGUCCUGGAUUUCUUUCCGGCUCACAAGAAGGGAAAUUAGGGAACAUGGGCUUAAACAUGUCUUCACUGGCAUUGAAUCUGUGAGAAGUCAGCCCCACGGUUUUGGUAAUACUAAGUUAAAUACUAGUUUAAAAUGAGUUUGAGCCUAUUUGAACCCAAUUUGAUGUGAUAUGCACAGGGACUUAGGCCCCAGGCUUUGUGUUUUGUUGUUGUUGUUGUUGUUUGUUGUUUGUUUUUUUUUUGAGACGGAGUCUCACUCUGCCACCCAGGCUGGAGUGCAGUGGUGCGAUCUUGACUCACGGCAACCUCCACCUCCUGGGUUCAAGCGACUCUCCUGCCUCAGCCUCCUGAGUAGCUGGGAUUACAGGAGCCUGCCACCAAGCUAGUUUUUGUAUUUUUAGUAGGGAUGGGGUUUCACUGUGUUGGCCAGGCUGGUCUCAAAGUCCUGAACUCAAGUGAACUGCCUGCCUCGGCCUCCCAAAGUGCUGGGAUUACAGGCGUAAGCCACCGCGCCCAGCCGGCCCCUGGCUUUGGACCUUGGCCCUGUUGUUGAACAGCUCUGCAACUGUGGACAAGGAACUUAAUUUCUCUGUGCUUCAAUUUUGUUCUUGAAAAAGGGGAUAAUGAUAGUAUCUACCUCACUGGGAUGUGUUUUAGGAUUAAAUAUAUACAAAUAAAGCUCCUAGCACAGGACUUGUCAUAUAGUGAACAAACAACAAAUUUUGUUAUAAACACUAAUGUAAUGAGGAUCAAAAUCAUUAGUAUUUGGGUGUUUGUAGCUUUUCCCUUUCCUCUCCUAUUAAAAGCCAGUAUUACUUGGUCAGCAAAUCCUCCUCAGCCCCUUCUCCCACACUGUCCUCUGCUUUGGGGUCUUAUUGGGAAAUGUGGUGAAUGAGUGGGAGAACCAGACCGAGGGGGUGGAUCACCUGAGGUCAGGAGUUUGAGACCAGCCUGACCAACGUGGUGAAAAUUCAUCUCUACUAAAAAUACAAAAAUUAGCCAGGUCCAGUGUCAGGUGCCUGUAAUCCCAGCUACUUGGGAGGCUGAGGCAGAAGAAUUGCUAGAACCCAGAAGGCAAAGGUUGCAGUGAGCCGAGAUUGCACUACUGCACUCUAGCCUGGGCCACAGAGCAAGACUCCGUCUCAAAA
This 2185-nucleotide long non-coding RNA is filed under the name Homo sapiens (human). RNAcentral describes it as "HSALNT0234192". Lineage: Eukaryota; Metazoa; Chordata; Mammalia; Primates; Hominidae. The record is from RNAcentral.